This 164-nucleotide unclassified non-coding RNA is filed under the name uncultured Hypocreales. RNAcentral's name for it is "sequence contains ITS1". Lineage: Eukaryota; Fungi; Ascomycota; Sordariomycetes; Hypocreales. The record is from RNAcentral.
UAGAGUUUACGAACUCCCAAACCUUUGUGAACAUACCACUGUUGCUUCGGCGGGAUCGUCCCGGGCGCGCCUGAUGAGGGCGUGUUCCGGAGCCAGGCGCCCGCCGAGGGUAUCAAACUCUUGUCUUUACAACGGACUUCUGAGUACAAAAGAAAAAUAAAUCA